AUAGUCCUGGAUGAAAAGAAAGGAGAGAACAUGUAGAGGAGAGGAAGAGAGAAGGAAGGGAGAAAUGACAGGAUCGCUGAUACGCUCAGCAAAGGGCCAACACAGGGAAACGGGGAGUGUGGGAGCUUACACAUCAGUGAUUCCAGGGAAAGAAGACACUGGGCAAGACUAAAGUCACUGGAACCUCCUACAUCCCCAGCCUUCUAACUACUCAAAAGGGAAGUAACUAAGACUACAGAUGUUGAAGUUCCUUAUGGUUGAAAAAUUAAAAGCCUACAGCACCACUGAACUGAAAUGGUUGUUACUUCAGAGAAAUUUUAUUUUAAAUAUACUAGUAUGUGAAUUAAAAUAAGUAUAAUACAAUUUUUUUUUUUUUUGAAACAGGCUUCCUCUGUGUAGCCCUGGCUGUCAUGGAACUAUCUGUAGAGCAGGCUGGCCUUGAACUCAGAGAUUCAUCAAGUGCUGGGAUUAAAGAUGGGGCUGGAGAGACGGCUCAAUGGUUAAGAGCACUGACUGCUCUUCCAGAGGUCCUGAGUUCAAUUCCCAGCAACCACAUGGUGGCUCACAACCAUCUGUAAAGAGAUCCGAUGCCCUCUUCUGGUGUGUCUGAAGACAGACACAGUGUACUUAUAUACAAUAAAUAAAUAAAUCUUAAAAAAAAGAGAGAUUUAAAAAAAAAUUAGUAUAGAUCUUCAUACCAAACAGCUGGAGAACAACCAACAGAUAAACCUUCUAAAAGGCAUGUGAAAGUCCUCUUAAAUAAAAUCAUAUUAAUGAAAUGGUCCUUGCUGUGUGCAUACAUGCACAUACCUUUUUCUUUUCGUGCACGCAGGUGUGACCGUGCAUGUGGAAGCUGCAGGCUGUUGGUGGGGGCCUUCCUUACUGCUUUCUCCACUUUCUAAUUUUAAAAUGCUAUUUAUGUAUUCAUCUGUUUGUUUGUUAUAGCGAGUGUUGCGGGCACACGUGUGCUGAAGUGAGGUGGAAGCCAAAUGACAAGUUUUAGGAUUCGGUCCUCUCCUUCAACCAUGUGGGUUCCUGUGAUGGGACUCAGUCAGCAGGCGUGGCAGCCGGUGACAGGAUCGCCUGUGGAUCCAUUUUGCCAGCCCAUAAUAAAAGACUUCUGACAGCUCAUAACCAAUUCAGUGCAUAAAUGCUGACUGAGUCUCAUUAGAAGACACAGUCUUCUAAAAUUUGUAUUUUUGAGAUAAAUAAGAGAUUUUUUUAAAUGGCCGUAUAAUACAUCCUGAUGUAGAACUAGCAUGAUCUAUUAAUAAAAAAAAAAAAAACCCUUUGAUUUUAGGAGAUAUAUACAUAGAAACAUUUAGGAGCCAACUAUCAUGGUGUCUCCAAUUUUCAAAGUAAUCAGAAAAAGUAAAUAAAGUAACCAGGAGGCUGGUGAGAGGAUUCAGGGGUGAAGGGCUCUUGCUCUCGGCCAGAGGACCUGGGUUCAGUUCCCAGCACCCACAUGAGGUCACAACCACCUCUCACUCCAGACAGAACCAGGGGAGUCAAUGCCUUCUGGACUUCGCAGGCACUGCGGGGCAUGUAAACUCAUAAAGACAUGUCACAUACACACACAUUAAAAAACGAAUAAAUAAAGGCCCUAGCAAGGCCCUGGGUUCGGUCCCCAGCUCCGAAAAAAAAAAAAAAGAAAAAGAAAAAAAAAAAAAACGAAUAAAUAAAUCUUAAAAAAAAAACUUAUUGUAUUACUUUUUCAGCUCUUCUGUAGUCUUGAAAUGUGAGUUCUGUAGUCCUUUGGUAUUUUCCCCUUAAAACCUGUUUACAAUAUGGGAUUCUUCCCCCAAAAAGAGAAGUUUCAUCUAAAACUCUCCAUGUACAAAAAUCUUUUAUGGAGCUGGAGAGAUGGCUCAGUGGUUAAGAGCACCAACUGUUCUUCCAGAGGUCCUGCCUUCAAUUCCCAGCAACCACAUGGUGGCUCACAACCAUCUGUAAUGGGAUCCGAUGUCCUCUUCUGGCACGUAGGUGUUCACACAUAAAAUAAAUAAAUCUUAAAAUGCUUAAAAACAACAACAAACACCUUUUAUCUUGGGGGUUUCUUCAAGAAUAAGCCUAUAAGUUGGUCAAACUACCAUCCACCCCCUCCAUCCCCCAAAGUCGCAAAGGUGUGAGGGUGGCUUUCUCUAUAGGCACUGGCCAAGCUUCAGUGGGAGUAAACGAUCUCUCAUCACCCUUGGGAUGGCUGAAAAAAAAAAUCAACCUCCAACUGAAUUUUGACCAGAAUUUGAUAGUUUAGAUAACACCUUUAAAAAAAAGGCUGAAGCCCUUCCCAAACCUGACUGCUCAUGAGCUUCCAAGGGUAUUAGUAUGUCAUAAAGUGUGUGUGUGUGUGUGUGUGUGUGUGUGUGUAUGCGUGGAUGAGGGCAUGGAGGCCAGAAGGUUGGCACUGGGGAGAGUUACAUGUGACUGUGAGCUGUCUCACACAGGUGCUAGAAAUCCAACUUCAGUUCUCUGUGAUAGUAGCAGUGUAAGUCAUGUCUCUAACCUCUGGGCAGACAUAUAAACCCUGUACUCCUCCUAAUGACCUGCCGCCACGGAUAUGGGUUAGUAAGGGAAAGGUCGCUUCGGUGGGGGACCGAUGAUAGACAGUACAGACGGCACAUACUACAUUUUGGUAGAGAAGCGUUCUGAAGAACAUAGAGCAAAGCAGAAGACAGAUGACGGACUGCCAGGGGGAAAAGAACCAGUGAAGGAUACUAAAGAGAAACCCGAAGCAGCCAAGAGACGGGCGAGGUGCUCUCGUUCCUUGAAGCACCUGUUAGAGGACUUUACAGCACCCUGUAUUUUUCUCUCUUGGCCUGUCACACAGUAUUGAUAAGUACUAGUGUGGUUAUCUGCCCAGUGGUAGCCUCUCCAUAAUUUUGAAUUUCCUAAGUACAGGGACCAUACUGUCAAUUACCAUGCAAGCAUCUGGUACAUUUCACUCCUCCAGAUGGAAACAAACUCAAAAAUGCCUGUCUUUUAAGUCAGGGACCAGCACACCAUGGCCUGCGGGUAGAUCCAGACCAUAGAUGUCUGGAUCUAACUACACGGUCAGCAAAGCUUCAAGUAUUACUAAGGACCAGCAGGAUAUUUAGUGGUUGCAUACUUGUCUAGCAUGCACACCAAGCUCCAUCGGGUUCCAUCCCAACACCAAUUUAAGACUUGGUUACCAUCUGCUUCUCAGACAAAUGCUUUCUAACCCCAGUUCUACCUCAAAAGUUUUGCCUAAGAGUCAGACAUCACCUAGGUACUUUGGGUGCAAACCAUCGAGUCUCAUGCCAGACCUUGUCAGUCAUUUAUUCUGGGAUGGACUCAGCAGACUAUGUUCUCACAAGCCUUCGAGGAUUCUGUGACACAUUACACCCGAGAGUGACUGCUCUGAGUCCGACUUGCUACAGUUUCGUGGAAGAACCAAGCAAGUGGACAGACAAGAUAAGCAGAGGUUGUAAUCAUUAAAAUAGUGCGUGUGUCUAUAGAGUGCUUGUCUAGAAUGCACAAAGCCCAGCACUGCGUAGACUAGGUACAAACCUGUAAUUCUAGCACCGGGGAGGUGGAGGCAGAAGGAACACAAGUUCAAAGUCACCUUCAGCUACACAGAAAGUUCAAAGACCGAAUGGGAUACCUGAGACACUAUCUCAAUAAAUUUCUUUAUUUUGAGACACGGUCUCACUGUGUAGUUCUAGCUGUCCUGGAACUCACUAUAUAGACUAGGCUAGCCUUGAACUUAGAGCUAUCUGCUUCUGCCUCCCAAGUACUGUGAUUAAAGGCAUGUGCACCAUGCCUGGUUUAAAAAAAAUAAGUAUAAGAAAAAAUAAGUGUGAGCUGAUCUAGGGUGGGCUGCAGUAGAAAGAAUGGCACAGGAGCAGAGCUGUGGAGGAGAUAAGUAUGACAGGAAACAAGCUAGUAGUGAGGAAGUGUAACUUAGGAGGAACACAAGGCCAGCGGUAUCUGCCCUGUGAUAUUAAGACAUGAAAUCAGGGGUGGGCAACUAGCCACGCCAUGUAAAGCCUUGUAAACAAUGCCACAAUUCAGGUUUCAAAGUGCGAAGGAAGCCCAUGAGGCCGCUGACAAGAUAUGACUCAGAUUUUAAAAAGAUGGCUCUGGUUACUGCACGGACGGUGAGUGGCACGAGUCAUGCACAGAAGCAAAGGCACCUUCCUUAGUUUCCUGGACAGGCAGCUUUUAACAAAUGACAAGGUGUACUCAGCAAGCAAUCACAGGAAGGGAGAGAUAGCCACCUAUACCCCAAGGGACACCUCGCUUCUUGUCAACAUUUAAAUGUGUCCUCAUCACCAGGGAGACAAUCUCAGAUCGACGUCUGCUCCCCAAGGGUCCAACAAUUUUUCUAAGCAACAGUUUAAUUUUUUUAGAUUUAUUUUACGCAGUUAUGUUUUGCCUGUAGGCACGUAUGGGUAGUGUGUGUCUGCUGGGUCCCUGGAACUGGGGUUACAGGUAGUUGUGAGCAACCGUGUGGGUGUGGGAUUUGAAUCCAGUUACUCUGUAAGAACAAGGGCUCUUAACCACUAAACUAUCUUGCCACCACCCCACCCCCACUUGAAGAUGCAGGAUCUCAUGUAGCCAAGGCUGGCCCAUGAGAUCUCCCUGCCAGUUUCCUCAGUGCUGAGAUGAUAGGAGUAAGUCAUCAUGCUCAGACAUGGGCAUUGUUUCUAAGAUCAAAAUAGCUCACAUCUCCGUCUUGCUUGGCGCUGCUCGGAGAAGCACGCUUUCUCACCAACUUUUCGACUGGUGCGCAUGGCGGUGCACUUGCCUGCCUACAAUCUACCCUCUGUACUGUGACCACAGUGAGCUUUCGGCAAGGUGGAUCCAAAAAAGGAAUCUCCCUGUAGACACUGGGUUGGUAGUUUCUCACACCCUGAUCCUUCGUUCCCUUGUUCUUGGGAAAUUCUCAGUUGUGUGUGGGGCUUGCUCAGGGCUUGCUUCCUCCACAGACUUCUUCCACUGUCUCUCCGGAUACGGCUCUGCCCGCCCGCAAAGCCAUUGCUGCAUGUAUCAUACUGCACUGGAACUGCCUCUGUGUCCUAGGACAGACACUACCGACCUUAGAAACCUGCACUGGUUUCUCCCAGAGCAGAGAAAUACAAAGUGCCUGGAGGGGAAGGGUGUGAGAUGGGGUCCAGAUGCCUCCCUCAAAAAGCACAGUGUAUUAAAAGCUCACGCACACGAGGUGCACGUGUUGAAUUCUCAUUUGCAAUGCACAAUGCUCCAACUUGAAAAACUAUGCUAGCUCUAAAAUUUUUUAAGUAAUUUAUUUUUAUUUGCAUUGGUGUUUGGCCUGCAUGUCUGUCUGUCUGAGGGAGUAGGAACCACUGGAACCUAAAUUACAGGCAGUUGUGAGCUGCCAUGUGGGUGCUGGGAAUUGAACCUAGGUCCUCUGGAAGAACAGUCAGUGCUCUUAACAGUUGAGCCAUCUCUCCAACUCUUAGCUAGGCCCAAAUUGUUAGUGAGACCACUGAUCCAUUAAAAAAACAAAAUCAACAUUCUGUUUUGUCCUGUUUCGUCUUUAGCAGACUAACAAUAAUCUGAGUGGAGAAAAACUGAGGCUAAAGUAGAGAGAAAAAGUAUGUCACCUAAAAUAAUUUCAAAUCUUGACUAUGAUAUAAAAAAAUUGAAAAGUUUAAUUAAAAUAAAAUUAAAAAUAUUACUCUUACUUAUAUAUUAAACAGCAUAAAGUAUAAGUUAAAGCAUUUUCUUGUCAUUUUGUGCCACUAGAGACAAAGCCCAGGCCCUCUGUGGUAGGUUAAGUGCAGUACCCCAUUUCCCUACAUCCUAGGGCCCCGAAUUUCAUAAAAUAGAAAAGGGCAUUAAAUGCAAAAGCUUCAAAGUCCAUACAAAAUACAAAAAGGACACUUGGCACACAACUAUCUUCAGAUGAAAAAGCAGGAGAGACUAAGAAAUUAGUAUUAAGCUGUUUCACUUUCCCUCCUCCAGAGAUAAAUCACACUUAAAAGACCAUUCCAAGUUUUAUUUCAUGAAGACUUUAUUUUUUUUUUAAUAUUACAAACUAACUCUCCCUUUCUGAGAAGGCAGUCUUACACUCAGACAAUCUUCAAGCAAUGUUUUAAGAAAUUGAGAGGAAAACCAGAGUUCAUCAACAAGAAGGUUCACAACUUCUUUUUACAGUAAUAGGAAAAAUGAUACAUUUCACUACCUAAAGUGGGUCACACUGAGUGUCCCUAGAGCAGAGUAGAAUGACAUCAGCUGGACAGGUAUGAAGACGGUAAUGAAUUUGUCUCUAAUGAUACAGAACACAAGCUUGCUUUACACGGAACCCAAGACUCCUUCAUCACACUGCAGUAGGCCACAAGAAGCUUCCGCUCUCAGGCUUCUGUGAAAAUCAUUAAGGCAAGUCAAUAAAGGACCAGGAAGGCACCAGCUACAGCAAUGAUCACAGGACACCCAUGUAAGUGCUAUGAUCUGAUAGCAUUUAAAAAGUCAGGCGUUGCUGUAACAGACUCAGUGUUUUGUUUUUAGUAUCUAACAGCUACAGCACAAAAGGUCAGUUCAAGUCAUCUCAACGUAACAGGCACUUCCUGUUUGUUCUACUGCCUAUGAAAGGAGAAACAAUUUGCUAUACUAGAAGGAUCAGAAGCAAGAGUAAAGGAAAAGCCCUUUGGUUUAAAUUUAUUAAUCAGAUUUUGCAACUGUCUAUAGACUUACAAUCGGGUCGGAAAACCUUAUCCAAUAAAGUAGGACUCUACUGCAGUCCUGGUAAUGCCAGAUCACUCAUAAUUUCCCAAGCAUGAAUACUUUUCUUCAUUUCACAGUGAUAACACCUAGGAAUAUUUUCAUAAUAAAAUAAUGCUUUAAUGAAAACAAGUUCUCUUUGGUCUGGUUUAAUUUAAGCUGAGGGAGAGAUACCACAAUAUCAAAACAAAAAUUAAAAAACAACAAACAAACAAACACAAGCUGAGCCUGCUGACACACACCUCCAACUCCAGCAAUCAUGGAAGCUGACGCAAGAGGAUUACAGGUUUGCGGCCAGUGUGGGCGAAUCAAGGAGACUCUGUCUUAAUAGAGGAAUAGGAGCCCACAAAAGCGUGCUGGUGUUUUACACUUGUGCAGUGAGACAAUCAAACAAUUCUGUACACACAAUUUCUAAGGUAAGUGCUCUCAAAUGCAUGAAAGAACACUGCUGGCAGUGAAUCCUGGGUUCAUGUCUUUCCUGGUUAUCUAGAAAAUUAAGAUUUCUAUAGCUAGCUGUCUGGUCAAUUCAGUAAUACAGGGCACUUAGAUUAGCAGAAGAACAGAGGUAACUCUUUGGGCUAUCCCUGUGGGCAAAACACCGCCCACAUGUGUACAUGAAAACAGCACAGAGCUUUCCACUGUGACGUCAGUGGAAGGGAGUUACCAUGCUCCUAGUGUUUAGUAGGAAAGGGAGGCAUAUCUGUAACAAGUGAGGCUGGCAGGAUCUGAAGUAUCUUCUUUCAAGUUAGAAUCUAAGCAAUUAACACUUUUAAUUUAAGAAAAUGAAUUUUUAACAAAAACCCAGAUAGUAUAAUUAUGUGUGAAGAAGAAAGUCAGUCGUAGAUUUACACAGAUGCACUGAAGUGACUGACUUGAAGUAGCUUAUCAAGAGUCCAUUCAAACCAAAUGGCACAGAGAUUGUCAUCUCAACGAAGCCAGCACACGGCAGGCAUCAUUCGCCCACGCUGACUCUGCCAUAUAAACCGUCACUGAAGACGAGAACUGUCCAGCUAUGAAGGAAACAUAGCUCCCCCAAGGAUUUUAUGGAAAAAAAAAAUCUUGGAAGCAACUUCCUGUGCAUUAAGACAGCAUAUGAGAGAGAGAGAGAGAGAGAGAGAGAGAGAGAGAGAGAGAGAGAGAGAGAGAG
This is a non-coding RNA of Rattus norvegicus (Norway rat), 7852 nucleotides long. The record is from RefSeq and is a predicted model, not a curated record. NCBI's taxonomy places the organism in Eukaryota, Metazoa, Chordata, Mammalia, Rodentia, Muridae.